RNAcentral lists this ribosomal RNA (254 nucleotides) under uncultured bacterium. RNAcentral's name for it is "partial 16S ribosomal RNA". It matches the Rfam family "Bacterial small subunit ribosomal RNA", at positions 524 to 776 of the family's 1533-position model. The record is from RNAcentral.
GACGUAGGGGGCGAGCGUUAUCCGGAUUCAUUGGGCGUAAAGGGCGCGUAGGCGGCUCCCAGCAGUGGCGUGGGGAAUCCCCCGGCUCAACCGGGGGGGGCCGCGCCAGACGGGGGAGCUCGAGGUGGGUAGAGGGUCGCGGAACGGGCGGAGUAGGGGUGAAAUCCGUAGAGACCGUCCGGAACACCGUUAGCGAAGGCGGCGACCUGGGCCCAUCCUGACGCUGAGGCGCGAAAGCGUGGGGAGCGAACGGA